Molecule: RNA transcript, 2959 nt
Organism: Lycium barbarum (goji berry)
Lineage: Eukaryota; Viridiplantae; Streptophyta; Magnoliopsida; Solanales; Solanaceae
Exons: 8
Source: RefSeq, a predicted model, not a curated record
GCACCCUGCUCUCUCUCUCUCUCUCUCUCUCCUUUCUCCUCAUCUUCAUCUCUCUCCGCCCCAUUUAGCAAAACCCUACUUCCCUUUAGCCAUGACAGUUUUGCCUAUGCCAUUUCCACACCGAAAUUGUCGCUACGCCUGAGCUUUCUGUCGUUGACAGAGAAUUUUUUUUCCCCUUUUUACUUCAAGACGCGUUGAUCCUCAAAAUCAGAGAAUAGUCGAACUAUUUUUGGUAACACCGAAUCGAAUCACGUGGCCAUCUGCUCAAAAACACUUUCAACGUUCAGAUUUGAAUGGUCCAUUUGACUCGAUUUGAAUCCUAUACCAGAAAAUCCCGCCCAAUUCGAACCAUAGCAAACCCUAGGGAUUCUACUAUAAAUAUUCACUUCGUUACCCAUUUGAGGGAGUUCUUUUUCAGCCGCCUUGAAAUAUCUAUAUUUUUCAUCACUAUAUCUCGGAUAUAUUCAUUUGAAAUAUUGAGGGGUUUACUCUUUCGAUUCUGCUGUUGCUUUGAAAUCGAGUGUAGAUCGGAGAUUUACAGCCCCGUUCACUGCACCCGAACAAGUGGAGGUCAUGCAUUUUGCUACAUCAAAUGACAAGUGUUGUAGCAAAAUUAAGAAGAUAGUUGUUUCUCUUUCACAAUUUCCUAGGUACAACAGCAGUAGUGCUGAACUUUCUUCGAGAUUUUCUUCGUGCGACUCUCAUGAAAUAUAUAAAUCCGCUAGUCUUCAGCAUUGGUACAAGAAUUGGAAUGAAUUGAGAAAGCAUAAACUUACAGCUAGCACUUUUGGUCAAGCUGUUGGUUUUUGGCCUAAGCGUAGAGUCCAACUCUGGUUGGAGAAAAUUGGGGCGGUUGAACCCUUCUGGGGUAAUGAUUCCACAGCUUGGACUAACAUCAAGGAACAGGAGGCUCUUGUAAGAUAUAAGCUAAUUACUGGAAAUCCUAUCUCUUUUACUAAUUUUAACGUCUAUCGGGAAAUGAACAAGGGGGUUGACUGGCUUGGAGCUUCCGCAGAUGGUGUGGUUGACAAGUUUGUUUAUCAUUUACCAUCCAGAGGGGUUUUGGAGAUCAAGUGCCCGUACUUCAACGGUGAUAUGACUAAGGCGACUCCUUGGAAAAGAAUUCCCAUUUAUUAUGUUCCACAAGCUCAGGGUUUAAUGGAAAUAUUGGAUCGAGACUGGAUGGACUAUUAUGUUUGGACUACCAAAGGAAGCAGUUUGUUUAGGAUGCAUCGCGAUGGAGAAUAUUGGCAACUCUUGAAGAUUGCACUUUCUGACUUCUGGUGGAACCAUGUCCAGCCAGCAAAGGAGUUGUGCAAGAGAUCGCACAUUAAAAAUCCCCUUGUUGAACUUGCGUCCUAUAAGCCAGGACCUAAGCAUGAAUUGUUCCGGUCUAUUAUCUAUGAAAGUAGGCGUGUGCUUGACAAUUCCACGUUGCUUAUGCGUGAAAUUGAUGGAAAAUUACAGAACUGAGGUACCUUUGGAGUAUCUGUUUGCAUAUUUAAACACCAACUAACCAAGAGAUGCUGGUUGGGAAGUCACAUCAUGUGACUCACAUGCAUUGGCCUGAGUCAGUUGAGCAAAUGAAUUUCUUCAAUGGCCAAAGUGAAGGCAGCUGCUAGGGCAGAGUUGGAACUAACUUUUAUGGAGAAGCUAAGUUUAUCGCUGUUGCGGACACGGGCAACAUUCAAAUAGGAGAGGGAAGUGGUGACUGCAGAAUGAGGGUGCACAUGUGUUGUUGUGUUUUCAGUGGUUGCGCCAACUGGAAGACCUACACCAAGGCACUGCCGAAAUCGUAGCACCCGUUGCUGAUUGUGAUUCAAUUACUUGAUUUUGAAGGAAAAUAACUUUGAAAUUAGGUGAUGAAUUUUUGGGGAUAAUUGCAUAUACUAUUCUAUCUUUGGAAUAUGCUUCCGGGAAGUGAACAAUUUACUGAAAAAUUAGAAUGAUGACUUCAUUGUUAAGCUGAGGAAAACUGAAUCAAUGCUUCCAAGAGUCAGGAAAGUGCUGGCUCACUUUCGUCAAACUAAUGGAAGAAGCCCCAACAUUAAUUUUGGAUGAGAUCUUUUGGGCAUGAUGGAUGUCAAAGCAAAUAGUCCUAAUUGUUUGUGUAGUAGUUGCCACCGUGUUUCUACUAUCCACUGGGGUCUUUCCUUUGCUGCUGAGUAGAACGAGUAAAAGGAUAGCCAGUUAUGAUCUUAUAUAUACCUUUAGUACAAUUCAAGUCCUAUGAUGAGUUGAGUUCCAUUAUUUCCUAAAUUCUGAAUAGAUGUAAUUUAGUAUAGUUUUCUAAUUGUCUUAUCCAUUCCUCUUAAUUUGUAUUUUUAACUGCAUGAGGUAAAUAUCUCUCGCUCUCUCUGUCAAAUAACAGUAUUACAUUUUCCUAUUAAUUUCAGGGCAUAUGAUCAUGUUGCUAUUAAAUUUAGAAGACUGGAUGCGGAGAUAGAUUUCAAUGUCUUCUCCUUUUUAUCGAGUUCUUUCAUUAACAGUUGGAAGCUCAUAUCUCAAGUGACGAGUCCAAACAAGCUCACUUGUGGACUGAAUGAGAUCAUGCUUGAAGUUGAUGCAGACAAAGUUACACUUUUCUACUUUUCUCCAAUUAGUGACCCUGCUUAUUUUCCGAGCUUUUUUCUUAUAAGAUCCUUCUUUUUCUUCUUAAUAGUCUAUCAUAGUAGAUAAGACAUAAGACGUGUAUAGCGAUUGUUUGCAUUAUAUUUUUAUUAGAAGCUCAGUCGACUGCUCUUUCUAUUUCUCAUGACAAACAUGUUGGUUAUUUGUACGUUCGUAUUGGUUACCGUAUUCAAAUAAUCAAAUGUGUCAUCUUCCAAUUAUUUUUUUUUAAAUUUUUUGCUUGAGAUAGUUAUAUCUGGUAUGCCCCCUCUUCUUUAUCAGGUAUCACAGCGAUAUGCCAAUACAUUUUCUCAAUGGAAAGAAUACUUCAACAGUUAUUCAUGGUAUG